CAAAACGAUGCAAAUAAUUAAGGAAAUAACAAAACUAACCCUCGUGACAAACCGAAACUCCUCCACAUAACGACCGGCAGCUUCCGGACUCCCUCUUUGCAUCAUCGGCAGACCCUUUGCCAUAGUCAUCGGCAGACUUUCUUAUCUAGCCAUCGGCACCAUAUUACUGCCUGUGGACUUAGUCACGUUCAACUUCUCCCUCAUCAGCAACCAUCCUCAUCGGCAACCCACUUUGUAAACAUCGUACUGCCACCUUAUCCUGCCAUCCUAGACACGUGCCCAAAAACGGUGUCAACAGAGCUGCUGUUUAUCUGUUCCUAGAGAUGCUAGAAUUCUGGAGAAUUUUAUCUUUGAAAAUCUUUAAAAUGUUGCAUGAUGAGUUCCUGUAUGAUGAGAGUUUAAAUUCCUACCACAGCCAUAUAUACAUGCUUUUUAGACUUUGAGCCACACAUUUAUUAUUUACUGCUUAUGAGCAUUGAGUGUGGUCAAGCUGUGUAGACCCUUAGGAGCUUGUCAUGUGGUUAAAUCAAGAUUCACUUGCACGUUCACUCAUAUAUGCUACUUCUACUCCGGAAGUACCAUCCACAUAUAUCCAUUCAUUUCCAUCUCCAGAACCACCUAAAAAUAUUCUACUCCUAAUCCGGGAGAGAAUAACCAAAAAUAUUUCUAUUUUCCCCUUGUGAAAUAAAUGCUCAAGUUAUCUUGUUACUACCACUUGCUAUAUUAUCUCAAGAGAUGAGUGCUCUAAAAAUAUAUAUAUAUAUAUAUACGAGGAAAUAAAAAGGAGCAAGUGCUCGGAACCUCGAAAGAAAAUAAAAAGUGAGACGAGAGGUAAAAAUGGACAAGUGUCCGAUAGUAGAAUUAGGGGUGCAAGAUACCCACCUGAGAGACAAAAGAAAAAAAAAGAAAGAAGAAGAAGAGCAUCUCAUUCUCCUCAUAAAGUUUCAAAAGCAAGGAAGGUAUGUAUCCCCUCAAAAGAGCAACAAUGAUAUUAAGAAUAAGAAACUCAUACUCUACCAUCUCACAUUCCAUAAUGACUUAAGUAACACAAGGUUUUUAAAAUGAUUUUUUUUAAUAAUUGUAAGUUUUAGGAAAUAUCAGAGAGUGAGAUUAAUCAUGAUUAGAAACAUUUUAAUCUUUUUAAUUUAUCAUGUCGGAAACAAUAUUCUGCAUAAUCUAAGAUAUAUAUAUGUGUAAUAGUAAAUGUGCAGAGUGUGUACCUGAAUCGUGGAGUGUUGUAGUCGAAGUGUGUUUGGCAUGUCGAGGGAUCUCCCCCAUACUUGUUUUCUGCUUUCUUGUACAAGAAUAAAGUAGAGAUACACAAGACAUAAUAGUAAUAAUAAUAAUACUCUUUAUUAAUCUUGAGGCAUUUAUUACAAAAGACUAGUAGCAAACUGACGAUAAUAGUAACAAACCGAUGAUAAUAGUAAACCUAAACCAAAUUUUAAAGAUAGAUAACUAAGAUGCAUUGCCUCAAGGUCUAAUCUAGAUAACUUAGCGGCGCUCUAAUUCCUUAAUCUUCUUAUUGGCAGUAGCAAGAUCAUGCCUAAGGCCUAAUAUAAUGGUGUUGUGGUUAGAGAGCUGCCUAGUGAGGGAAUUAAUCGAGGACUGGAGGUCUAUGAUAACUCUGUCUAGCCUGUGAACGUCCUCAUCAAUAUCGACUAUAGUCUUGCGACGC
Molecule: long non-coding RNA, 1678 nt
Filed under: Sorghum bicolor (sorghum)
Lineage: Eukaryota; Viridiplantae; Streptophyta; Magnoliopsida; Poales; Poaceae
Description: long non-coding RNA (SBIC_LNC011892)
Source: RNAcentral